CAUAAUACUGUUGAACUUAACAGGAAUCUAACUUGCUAUGAUUUCCUUGUGUAUCUUUAGUGAGAACCCCCUGACAAGAUGCUAAUGGCUGGAUUCAUCUACUGGAGAAGAGCUUUAAUCUUCCACAGCCUUAUGAGCUAAUCAGUGUCAGAAACAGCUGCGUUGGUCUGGUCUGUAAUAUCCUUCCUAAGAAAGAAGAACCAUCACAAACUACCUGGAACUUGCUGGCAUCAGAACAGCCAUGUGGUCUCACAGCAAAGUUUCCUUGUAAGAGGAAAGGAGGAGACUUAUCAAGGCUGCUUGGUCUCUGUCUCAUGCAUACUGUGCAAAUGGGUGCACAAAGUCUGUCCUAUUCACAC
Athene cunicularia (burrowing owl) is the source of this 359-nucleotide long non-coding RNA. RefSeq lists it as uncharacterized. Lineage: Eukaryota; Metazoa; Chordata; Aves; Strigiformes; Strigidae. The transcript is spliced from 3 exons. The record is from RefSeq and is a predicted model, not a curated record.